GCCGGAGUGGCGGAAUGGCAGACGCAGCAGACUCAAAAUCUGCCGUAGGCAACUACGUGCCGGUUCAAGUCCGGCCUUCGGCACCA
This 86-nucleotide transfer RNA is filed under the name Schwartzia succinivorans. RNAcentral's name for it is "tRNA-Leu". It matches the Rfam family "tRNA". Rfam says of the family: Transfer RNA (tRNA) molecules are approximately 80 nucleotides in length. Their secondary structure includes four short double-helical elements and three loops (D, anti-codon, and T loops). Lineage: Bacteria; Bacillati; Bacillota; Negativicutes; Selenomonadales; Selenomonadaceae. The record is from RNAcentral. RNAcentral also lists the same sequence under 3 other names.